AUUGAACGCUGGCGGCAGGCCUAACACAUGCAAGUCGAACGGUAACAGAAAGCAGCUUGCUGCUUUGCUGACGAGUGGCGGACGGGUGAGCAAUGUCUGGGAAACUGCCUGAUGGAGGGGGAUAACUACUGGAAACGGUAGCUAAUACCGCAUAACGUCGCAAGACCAAAGAGGGGGACCUUCGGGCCUCUUGCCAUCGGAUGUGCCCAGAUGGGAUUAGCUUGUUGGUGGGGUAACGGCUCACCAAGGCGACGAUCCCUAGCUGGUCUGAGAGGAUGACCAGCCACACUGGAACUGAGACACGGUCCAGACUCCUACGGGAGGCAGCAGUGGGGAAUAUUGCACAAUGGGCGCAAGCCUGAUGCAGCCAUGCCGCGUGUAUGAAGAAGGCCUUCGGGUUGUAAAGUACUUUCAGCGGGGAGGAAGGGAGUAAAGUUAAUACCUUUGCUCAUUGACGUUACCCGCAGAAGAAGCACCGGCUAACUCCGUG
This 490-nucleotide ribosomal RNA is filed under the name uncultured bacterium. RNAcentral's name for it is "partial 16S ribosomal RNA". It matches the Rfam family "Bacterial small subunit ribosomal RNA", at positions 30 to 507 of the family's 1533-position model. The record is from RNAcentral.